RNAcentral lists this unclassified non-coding RNA (372 nucleotides) under Hevea brasiliensis (rubber tree). The record is from RNAcentral. Lineage: Eukaryota; Viridiplantae; Streptophyta; Magnoliopsida; Malpighiales; Euphorbiaceae.
AUUAUCUACGUGCUGCUUGUCGAUCCAGAGAGACGCUGCAACAAGUAUUUGAGGAGAAUGUUAAUCUUAAUGUUGUUCCAUCUAAGGAUUCGUCUUCCUCCUCACUGUCUGUUCAAAUGGCAUGGAUUAUGGAGCUAUUAGAGAGUAAUUUAGAGAUGAAAUCUAAGAUUUACGGGGACUCUGCUUUAUGCUCUGUUUUCAUGAUUAAUAAUGGAAGGUAUAUUGUACAAAAGGUCAAGGAUAGCGAAUUGGGUUCUCUUCUCGGUGAUGAUUGGAUCAGGAAACACGCAGCAAAACUCAAGCAAUUUCAUAUGAGUUACCAGCGAAGCUCAUGGAAUAAGGUUUUGGGAAUGUUGAAAGCAGAUAAUGGCU